CCUACGGGCGGCUGCAGUGGGGAAUAUUGGACAAUGGGCGCAAGCCUGAUCCAGCCAUGCCGCGUGGAUGAUGAAGGCCUUAGGGUUGUAAAGUCCUUUUAACGGGGAAGAUAAUGACGGUACCCGUAGAAUAAGCCCCGGCUAACUUCGUGCCAGCAGCCGCGGUAAUACGAAGGGGGCUAGCGUUGCUCGGAAUCACUGGGCGUAAAGCGCACGUAGGCGGCUUUCUAAGUCAGGGGUGAAAUCCUGGAGCUCAACUCCAGAACUGCCUUUGAUACUGGAGAGCUUGAGUUCGGGAGAGGUGAGUGGAACUGCGAGUGUAGAGGUGAAAUUCGUAGAUAUUCGCAAGAACACCAGUGGCGAAGGCGGCUCACUGGCCCGAUACUGACGCUGAGGUGCGAAAGCGUGGGGAGCAAACAGGAUUAGAUACCCUUGUAGUC
Molecule: ribosomal RNA, 440 nt
Filed under: uncultured bacterium
Lineage: Bacteria
Description: partial 16S ribosomal RNA
Rfam family: Bacterial small subunit ribosomal RNA
Source: RNAcentral